Molecule: unclassified non-coding RNA, 336 nt
Filed under: soil metagenome
Description: partial contains 5.8S ribosomal RNA, internal transcribed spacer 2, and large subunit ribosomal RNA
Rfam family: 5.8S ribosomal RNA (bases 1-120)
Source: RNAcentral
GAUGAAGAACGUAGCGAAAUGCGAUAAGUAAUGUGAAUUGCAGAAUUCAGUGAAUCAUCGAAUCUUUGAACGCACAUUGCGCCCGCCAGUAUUCUGCCGGGCAUGCCUGUUCGAGCGUCAUUUCAACCAUCAAGCCCCAGGCUUGUGUUGGGGACCUGCGGCUGCCGCAGGCCCUGAAAACCAGUGGCGGGCUCGCUGUCACACCGGGCGUAGUAGAUUUUAUCUCGCUCUGGGCGUGCUGCGGGUUCCGGCCGUUAAAAAACCCUUUUAACCCAAGGUUGACCUCGGAUCAGGUAGGAAUACCCGCUGAACUUAAGCAUAUCAAUAAGCGGAGGA